GGGAAGAAUAGGAAGAAUUAGUAGUAGUAGUAGAAGAAGAAUUAGUGGUAGUAGUUGUAGUGGUAAUAAUCUGUUGUCAUCUUGGAUCUAGAUCCUUUUGCGAUGCAGUUUUCUUUUGCUAGUAAGAUGGGUUUAAUUAAGUAGCAUUAUUAUUGGUAACAAUUUCAUCCGGUCUGUUCAAAAACUAAAUAACAGACUUUUCCCUUUGUCGAACUUAGCAGAACUGUUUUGAGACCAGGAAGGCCUAUUUCUUGCACUUUCAUCCAGUCAGCUCAAAAAUAGAACAACAAACUUUCCCCCUUCUUCACAAAAGUUUUUUUUCAAUUGUGGAUGCUUUACACAACUGUUGUGAGACAAAGAAGGCCUAUUGCUUGCGCUAUCAUCUGGUCUAUUAACAAUCUGGGCAACAGACUUUCCCCCUUCCCCACUACCUAUUUCCAACUUGUUACAAGAAGAUAUCUUAAGCAACAUCAAUGUACCAAUUACAAAUUCAACAAUGUGUCUUAGAACAUCGAUAAACAUGACCGUUCUUAUUACAAAUGACACCAAUGCAAACAUAGGCAUAGACCCACAGUCCGUAGAAUGCCACACUCUAACAGGUACAAAUGACACACUCUGACCAUUCUUAUUAUUAAUGACACUUCAUACUACUC
RNAcentral lists this long non-coding RNA (653 nucleotides) under Setaria viridis. Its description in RNAcentral is "long non-coding RNA (SVIR_LNC006951)". The record is from RNAcentral. Lineage: Eukaryota; Viridiplantae; Streptophyta; Magnoliopsida; Poales; Poaceae.